Molecule: long non-coding RNA, 1131 nt
Filed under: Mytilus galloprovincialis (Mediterranean mussel)
Lineage: Eukaryota; Metazoa; Mollusca; Bivalvia; Mytilida; Mytilidae
Source: RNAcentral
UUUGCAAUCAUACCACAUCUUCUUUUAUAUAUAUUUACUAUAUAUAUAUAUAUAUAUAUAUAUAUAUAUAUUUAUCAUAUGUUUAGUAGUAAAUACAGUAGUUUUGCAUAUGUGAUAAAUAGCCUGUUGUUUAAUCCAUAUCGCGCAACUUUGAUGCGCACUCUUUAUCGCAUACCCUUUAUCACACCCCUACCCUUUAUCGCAUACCCUUUAUCACACCCCUACUUUUUUUUUUUUUUUUUUUUUUUUUUACAUAAAGUCAGUUUUUUUUUUUUUUUUUUUUUUUUUUUUUGCUUAAGAAAAAUUUUCCUCAAAAUAGGUAAAUUUUUUGAAUGACGUCAUUGUUUGGUAUGCGACGUCACGAACGUCGAGUUUUCAUAUUGUAUGUGACGUCACGAACGUCAAGUUUUUAUAUUUUUUGGCAAACUAAAUGCAACUAUGAAAAAUACAAAACACACAAAUUAAUACAAUAAUAAACAAAAUGUUUUUAAAACAACAGCACGCAAAUUGUAAGGUAACCCAGGUGCUUCGGAUAAGUAAUUGAGCAGUUCUUUUAAGGCCUUUCAAACAAGACAAAAGUAGAACUGAAGGUAACCCAGUGCUAUGGAUCAGAAAACAGUUCAUAUAAUAUAAUACUCUUCUGUUGAAAUAUAUGAUAAAGUGUAUAAUACAUGGCAAAAUCCGUAUCACAUGCCGUAUCACCCUCGACAAAUAUCAUCCCUCGGGCCUAAAGGCCCUUGGGCUGAUAUUGAUGUCUCGGGAUGAUACGACAUAUGAUACGGAUUUUGCCAUGUAAUAUUCUCUAUUUAUCCUAUGUUUAGUAGUAAAUACAGUAGUUUUGCAUAUGUGAUAAAUAGCCUGUUGUUUAAUCCAUAUCGCGCAACUUUGAUGCGCACCCUUUAUCGCAUACCCUUUAUCACACCCCUACCCUUUAUCGCAUACCCUUUAUCACACCCCUACUUUUUUUUUUUUUUUUUUUUUUUUUUUUUUUUACAUAAAGUCAGUUUUGUUUUUUUUUUUGCUUAAGAAAAAUUUUCCUCAAAAUAGGUAAAUUUUUUGAAUGACGUCAUUGUUUGGUAUGCGACGUCACGAACGUCGAGUUUUCAUAUUGUAUGUGACGUCACGAACGUC